UACGUAGGGGGCUAGCGUUGUCCGGAAUCAUUGGGCGUAAAGCGCGCGUAGGCGGUCAGGAAAGUCCGGUGUGAAAGUCAUAGGCUCAACCUAUGGAUGCCGCUGGAAACUGCCUGACUUGAGUCCGGAAGGGGCGAGUGGAAUUCCUGGUGUAGCGGUGAAAUGCGCAGAUAUCAGGAGGAACACCAAUAGCGAAGGCAGCUCGCUGGGACGUUACUGACACUGAGGCGCGAAAGCGUGGGGAGCGAACAGG
RNAcentral lists this ribosomal RNA (253 nucleotides) under uncultured bacterium. Its description in RNAcentral is "partial 16S ribosomal RNA". It matches the Rfam family "Bacterial small subunit ribosomal RNA", at positions 524 to 776 of the family's 1533-position model. The record is from RNAcentral.